Molecule: long non-coding RNA, 560 nt
Organism: Neofelis nebulosa (Clouded leopard)
Lineage: Eukaryota; Metazoa; Chordata; Mammalia; Carnivora; Felidae
Exons: 3
Source: RefSeq, a predicted model, not a curated record
GGGGUUACUCAAGGGGAGGAGGUGUGGUCAAGGUGAAGGACACAGAACAAGAUGGAGUCAGCCGGCGUAGGCCCGCCCUUUCAAUGUGGUUUGAAUAGAGCUGUACUACUAAAACGAAUUCACAGUUAACUUCCAAAAAAUUAUCACAGUACAAUGAAAUCAGGAAUGAAAUAUAUUAUGGAAAACCAACAGUGGUUGAUAAUCCUAAAUCCAAAGCUGUUAGGAUUUCAGUACAUUCAGGACAGUGGUGACAAGCUUCAGUCCUCAAGUCUUCUCUGUCUCCUCAGUGAGUAGAAAGGAAACGUAGCCCAUCUGUCUGGACCUCUGUAGAAGAAUUUGGAGAAAAAAGAAAUAACACGUAAGAAAUGUUCCCUUAUUUUGUGAGCUACCUUUAGUCUGUCCCGUUGCUCUGCAACAGAAAGCUUUUGCAAAAAUACUUGAGUUUUCCUCUUCAAAUAAGAUAGAGUUUUUUAAAAAACAAAAAGAUAUCUAGAACAGUAUUUCUUCAACUUUGAUUAUGAGACAGUCUUUGAGGAUAACUGUUGUUAUGUUUUACUCCC